GAUGAAGAACGUAGCGAAAUGCGAUAAGUAAUGUGAAUUGCAGAAUUCAGUGAAUCAUCGAAUCUUUGAACGCACAUUGCGCCCGCCAGUAUUCUGGCGGGCAUGCCUGUUCGAGCGUCAUUUCAACCAUCAAGCCCUGCUUGCGUUGGGGUCCUGCGGCUGCCCGCAGGCCCUGAAAACCAGUGGCGGGCUCGCUAGUCACACCGAGCGCAGUAAUACAUCUCGCUUUGGGCGUGCGGCGGGUUCUUGCCGUUAAACACCCCCUUUUUACCAAGGUUGACCUCGGAUCAGGUAGGAAUACCCGCUGAACUUAAGCAUAUCAAUAAGCGGGGA
This 333-nucleotide unclassified non-coding RNA is filed under the name soil metagenome. Its description in RNAcentral is "partial contains 5.8S ribosomal RNA, internal transcribed spacer 2, and large subunit ribosomal RNA". The stretch from base 1 to 120 matches the Rfam family "5.8S ribosomal RNA", at positions 35 to 154 of the family's 154-position model. The record is from RNAcentral.